GACGAACGCUGGCGGCGUGCCUAAUACAUGCAAGUCGAACGCUUCUUUCCUCCCGAGUGCUUGCACUCAAUUGGAAAGAGGAGUGGCGGACGGGUGAGUAACACGUGGGUAACCUACCCAUCAGAGGGGGAUAACACUUGGAAACAGGUGCUAAUACCGCAUAACAGUUUAUGCCGCAUGGCAUAAGAGUGAAAGGCGCUUUCGGGUGUCGUUGAUGGAUGGACCCGCGGUGCAUUAGCUAGUUGGUGAGGUAACGGCUCACCAAGGCCACGAUGCAUAGCCGACCUGAGAGGGUGAUCGGCCACACUGGGACUGAGACACGGCCCAGACUCCUACGGGAGGCAGCAGUAGGGAAUCUUCGGCAAUGGACGAAAGUCUGACCGAGCAACGCCGCGUGAGUGAAGAAGGUUUUCGGAUCGUAAAACUCUGUUGUUAGAGAAGAUCAAGGACGUUAGUAACUGAACGUCCCCUGACGGUAUCUAACCAGAAAGCCACGGCUAACUACGUG
This 508-nucleotide ribosomal RNA is filed under the name uncultured bacterium. RNAcentral's name for it is "partial 16S ribosomal RNA". It matches the Rfam family "Bacterial small subunit ribosomal RNA", at positions 28 to 507 of the family's 1533-position model. The record is from RNAcentral.